GCCAAACAGCCGCGGCGUCCUGCCUACCGGGAGCUGACGGACGACGACUGCCAACACCUUAGCCCCAGCUGGCCCAGGAAACUGCUGCGGUGGCAGGUGGCGGCGGCAGGAGGGCUCGGCUGCCCCGAGCGCCCGCCAGGCUUCUGCCCUAAGAAGAUGGCCUACUAUGGAAAAUGCAUUGAAACUGUGAUCGAGCAACUCGACAAAUUUACACCCAAGAGGGACAACCCUGAGCAGUUCCUGGAGGCUGCGGCCACCUCCCUGCAGGCUCUGAGCCCCCAGAAGCAGAGCUUUGUUUUGGAGGUUCUGUCUGGGUGCCUCGAGUACCGGAAGCUGCUGACCGUCGUGGUGGAUGCCUUCUACGUGGAGGAUGGCCGACUCUGCCUGCGGGUUGACCACAGCCGCUUCGAGGUGAUCUGCUACCUAGCCACAUUCCUGCUGGAGGAACUCGGCUUC
This 456-nucleotide long non-coding RNA is filed under the name Homo sapiens (human). RNAcentral describes it as "HSALNT0317836". The record is from RNAcentral. Lineage: Eukaryota; Metazoa; Chordata; Mammalia; Primates; Hominidae.